RNAcentral lists this long non-coding RNA (293 nucleotides) under Ananas comosus (pineapple). RNAcentral's name for it is "long non-coding RNA (ACOM_LNC024527)". Lineage: Eukaryota; Viridiplantae; Streptophyta; Magnoliopsida; Poales; Bromeliaceae. The record is from RNAcentral.
UUUAUCGACAUUUAUAAUUUAUUAUUGGUAAAUAAUAAUAUUUAGCGGUAUUUAUUUUUAAAUGCCGAUAAAAGAUAAUUUAAAUAUCGGUAGUUAUUUUUAGUGCCGCUAAGAGUAUUUAAUUACCGGCAUUUAAAUUUAAAUAUUGGUAAAAGGUCUUAAAUUCUAAAUAUGUGGAUUCCCAAUAUUUUCCUCUCCCGCCUCUUUCUUCCACCUCACCCUUUUGUUCUCGUCCGAUCAUUAUCUCCCCAUCCUUUUAGGAUUUUUUCCCAAAUAUUUUCCUCCCCAUCCUU